AAACGGGGAUGUUCUCAAGGGACUUAUCAACACCACUGCGUAUUUCGCCAUUCAAUAAUUGGCUUUUAGAGGACACGACGAGAGGGAAAGUUCCGCUAACAAGUGCAACUACAGCGGCUGGUGGUGGCUGGCCCGCUCCAGGAGUCUGAUGUGCGGGAGGUUCCUCCACCCCCUCUAGACAUCGGGGGGCCACGGCAUACUCCGUUUGCUCCAUACUGGAUUCGAGGCGUCAGGCGAGGGGCCUUCAGUAUCUCGUGGAGUGGGAGGGGUACGGUCUGGAGGAGAGAUGCUGGGUUCCGGUCGAGGACAUGUUGGACCCUUCAAUGCUGCAGGAGUUCCACCGUCUUCGCCCGGGUCGCCCUGCGCCUCGACCUCCGGGUCGUCCCCGAGGCCGGUGUCAACUCGGGGACUGUCAUGACUUCCGCCGAAGUUGGUCCCUCUCCUUGUUCGGGCGGUGUUCGGCGGUCGAAGUCACCGACCUUCUAGCCAUCGCUGAUCCACUUUUAAUUUUCUAUUGGUUUGUCUUGUCUUCCAUCACACCUGGUUCCAAUUACAUCAAUUACAUGUUGUGUAUUUAACCCUCUGUUCCCCCUCAUGUCCUUGUCUGUAAUUUUUUCUGGUAGUGCUUUUGCAACGGGUAUUUACCGGGUUUUGUUUGACCCAUUUAUUGUGUUGUUCUGUUGACGGUGGUUUAUGGAUAUUUAAGGACACUGUUGUAAAUCAGUUUUCGCUCUCCUGCGCCUGACUUCUCUGCUCUACGCACCUCACUACAACUGGUCCCAUCAUAGCCCUUAUAAAACCAUUUUACAGCUGAAUAAUCACUCAUAACUUUAUAGGGUCCAGAGUUGUCCUGAUUAGGUUAACAGAUAAGGAAAAACUCUGGGUCCCAGGGGAUAAAUUGAAUGUUUCCUUUCCAAGCACUGAGUACCCCUAUCAAUUUUCUCUCAUUACUGUAUGUAGAGUCAAUCACACAUACAUACAAACAAUCACAUUAUUACACAUCAAUGAUUUUACUGCUUGCUUGGACUAACUCCUUCUUAGCUCUUUUGUCUAACUGCAUUGUGUUGUUAUUGUUUUUUGUCUUUCUAGUCAAAUCCUGUCCUGAAGUCAAGCCUCUGAACACCUCAACUCAUGCCUCAUACCCUCAUUCAAUCACUGCUGUGAUCCCUUUCCAACACUGUGUGGCCAUAGCUGUGGAUUCCAGAGUGGAUUCCUGUGUGUUGUGACCAAGAGAACAGAUGCCUUGGGUUCAGUGAAAACAAUUACAGGGUUGCUUACUGUACACACACACACACCAGGCCACUGCAGGGGAGAGGGGACCUGUCCUGCUCCCAGUGUUGUGUGUUUUCAGUCCCACUCCAGACUAAUUCCUCCACAUAGAAACACAGGGAUGUGUGUCUGUGUGCCUGUGUGCUUGAUGAGGUCACCCAGCAGACUGAGCCAGAGGGAAACUGAACAGGCAAACAUGACUGAACAGGACAGGAGGGAGGACCACUCUUUUGCAUCCCAAAUGGCACCCUAUUCCCUUUAUAGUGCACUACUUCUGAACAGGGCCCACACAUAUACAUGCAUCCGUACACACACAAACACACACACACACUCCAGUGAAAAUGACUAUUUAAAACACUAUCCUUACUGGGGAUGUUUAGUGUGAGUGUAUGUGUUGAACAGAUGUUUUUAUACACGGUGCUGAUUUCCUCAACAAGUUGCAGCAUUGCCCUGUACUGCCCCGGGACAGCACGUACCCUUGCCUCCACCCAAAACAACUAGCAGGUACAAAGAAUGUCCAGAUCAGAAUGGGUGGAACAGACAUUCCUUUUCAAAACAAUGUUAUGUACAUGUCAACUCAAAGCAAUAUCACGUUGCAAUGUCACAACAAAUCACCGUUAUAUGAUAGAAGCAUGGCUUGUACGAAGGAGAGAGGGAGAAAGAUACAUAGUUAAAUAGAGAGAAAGGAAGAGAGAAUGUUUAAAAAGAGAAAGAUGAGAGGGAGAGGAAAUAGCUGGAUGUCUGAAGGGACUCAUAAAUCCAGAAAGAGAGGAAUGAGAAAGAUGACUGUUGGACUCCCUGGGGGUUGUGUUUGGAGACUCAGUCGGGGGCUGGAGGAGGUUGUGAAAGACCAGGGGGAAUUAGCAGAGGCAGGUGGAAGCAUAGGAGUCAGAAACAAUAUUUGCUAAAUGUACCGUACGGCAUGAUAAAGCAAUCUGAAUUGGAAUGAAAGUUUGAGGGGCCAGGCUGUUUGGAGUAGUA
Oncorhynchus masou masou (cherry salmon) is the source of this 2250-nucleotide long non-coding RNA. RefSeq lists it as uncharacterized. NCBI's taxonomy places the organism in Eukaryota, Metazoa, Chordata, Actinopteri, Salmoniformes, Salmonidae. The transcript is spliced from 3 exons. The record is from RefSeq and is a predicted model, not a curated record.